GCUUUGGUGUAGUGGUGUAGUCUUUGUGAUUUUAGCAACCAAGGGGUCCCGGGUUCGAAUCCCGGCGAUGAGCA
Meloidogyne enterolobii is the source of this 74-nucleotide non-coding RNA. The record is from the annotation of a GenBank genome assembly. Lineage: Eukaryota; Metazoa; Nematoda; Chromadorea; Rhabditida; Meloidogynidae.